Molecule: transfer RNA, 142 nt
Organism: Naumovozyma dairenensis CBS 421
Lineage: Eukaryota; Fungi; Ascomycota; Saccharomycetes; Saccharomycetales; Saccharomycetaceae
Rfam family: tRNA
About the family: Transfer RNA (tRNA) molecules are approximately 80 nucleotides in length. Their secondary structure includes four short double-helical elements and three loops (D, anti-codon, and T loops).
Source: Rfam
GCUCGUGUAGCUCAGUGGUUAGAGCUUCGUGCUUAUAGGGACACUCGGAUUAUCCGAAGUUAUCUGUACAAAUAUGAUCUUUCAAACCAGAUCAAAUUUUAAAGCAACGCGACCGUCGAGGGUUCAAACCCCUCCUCGAGCA